UUCCUAAACUGUCCGCCAACUAGGAAC
This 27-nucleotide non-coding RNA is filed under the name Mus musculus (house mouse). The record is from RNAcentral. Lineage: Eukaryota; Metazoa; Chordata; Mammalia; Rodentia; Muridae.